UACGGGGGGUGCGAGCGUUGUCCGGAAUCACUGGGCGUAAAGGGCGCGUAGGUGGUUUGAUAAGGGUGUGGUGAAAGUCCGGGGCUCAACCCCGGAUCUGCCGUGCCGACUGUCAAACUCGAGGACUGUAGAGGCAGACGGAAUUCCGGGUGUAGCGGUGGAAUGCGUAGAUAUCGGGAGGAACACCAGUGGCGAAGGCGGUUGCCUGGAGCUUUGCUGACGCUGAUGCGCGAAAGCGUGGGGAGCGAUCCGG
RNAcentral lists this ribosomal RNA (253 nucleotides) under uncultured bacterium. RNAcentral describes it as "partial 16S ribosomal RNA". It matches the Rfam family "Bacterial small subunit ribosomal RNA", at positions 524 to 776 of the family's 1533-position model. The record is from RNAcentral.